This 377-nucleotide ribosomal RNA is filed under the name uncultured bacterium. Its description in RNAcentral is "bacterial SSU rRNA". It matches the Rfam family "Bacterial small subunit ribosomal RNA", at positions 28 to 406 of the family's 1533-position model. The record is from RNAcentral.
GACGAACGCUGGCGGCGUGCUUAACACAUGCAAGUCGAGCGGUAAGGCCCUUUCGGGGGUACACGAGCGGCGAACGGGUGAGUAACACGUGGGUGACCUGCCCUUAGCUCUGGGAUAAGCCUGGGAAACUGGGUCUAAUACCGGAUAUGACUCCAUGACGCAUGUUGUGGGGUGGAAAGCCUUGUGCGGCUAGGGAUGGGCCCGCGGCCUAUCAGCUUGUUGGUGGGGUGAUGGCCUACCAAGGCGACGACGGGUAGCCGGCCUGAGAGGGCGACCGGCCACACUGGGACUGAGACACGGCCCAGACUCCUACGGGAGGCAGCAGUGGGGAAUCUUGCGCAAUGGGCGAAAGCCUGACGCAGCGACGCCGCGUGGGG